UAUGGCUGACGUUACAUUGGGCUCUAAGCUGUAGAGCCAGGAUGUGAAUCAAGUCUAGUUCAUGCUCGAGCCUAUGCUUUAAACCACCUCAGUGUAUACUACCCUCUGGAAGAGUCACCCACCAACUGCCAUUUAUUGAACUACAUGGCAAUUGUUCCUGGUGAAGAAGUUUCACCAUUUGAAUGUCCAGACCAUGGCUGCUUUUGCUUUUGCUUUUUUUAAAUUGAAGGAUAGCUGGUUUACAGUGUUGUGGUUGUUUUAGAUGUAUUGCAAAGUGAUUCAGUUAUGCACACACACACACAUACACACACCCAUUUCGGAUUCUUUUUUUUCUCAGUUUCUUUUCCUAUAUUAUAGGUGAUUACAAGACAUUGAGUACAGGUCCCUGUGCUAUACAGGAAGUCCUCGUUGUUUACCUAUUUUACAUAUAUAAUCGUGUGUAUCUGUUAAUACCAAGCUCCUGAUUUAUUCCUCUUCCUCCUUUCCCCUUUGGUAACCGCACGUUUGUUUUUAUGUAUAUGAGUCUGUUUCUGUUUCGUAAAUGUUUUUGUGUGUUGCCACCACCUGCAACCCAGUUCCUUGUGCAAUACAUGUGUUAUUAGUUCAUUAGAAGGAGUAAGAAGAAGAGAUUUUCCUCUAAGUCACAGUUGGGUAACUCUUCUUUAGAGCGGCUGAGCAUUUCUGGGGUUUAGGAGCAGUGUAGAGGCCGAAGAUGCACUUUACUCUGUGGGAUCUCACAUCAGGAGUCAGUGAGUUAGAAGCGACUCCUUAUUUGGGGAAAAUGUUUAUAAACCAGAAAGAGCAAUGGGAGUGAAAGCUGAAACAGACCUAGAGAUGGAAUGCUUCUCUGAAAGACUCGCUAUUUGCAUGGGAGGCGGGUUUUGGAAGGGAAUGUUGUCUCCAGGGCUCUGGGAGACAGAAUCACUGUAGGGGAGCCCAUGGUAGCCCAGGGGAAGGCAAGCAAAAGAAAGGAGCAGAGUUCGGUGAAACUCAUGAUAAAAGUCUUCCUGGAAGAGGCAACUGAAGGUGGAAAUGGAAAGAAACAAUAUAUAAAAAUAAAAGAAAGGGGUGUUCCCCUUGUGGCACAGUGGAAACGAAUCUGACUAGUAACCAUGAGGAUGAAGGUUCAAUCCCUGGCCUCUCUCAAUGGGUGAAGGAUCUGGUGUUGCUGUGAGCUGUGGUGUAGGUCACAGACACGGCUUGGAUCCAGCGUUGCUGUGGCUGUGGGGUAGGGAGACAGCUGUAGCUCUGAUUCGACCCCUAGCCUGGGAACUUCCAUAUGCCAAGGAUGCGGCUCCCCCCCACCAAAAAAAAUGAAAGAAAGAAGUGGGAAAUAAAGUCAAGGAGAAUGGAGUUCCCGCUCUGUUGCAGCAGGUUAAGUGUCUGGCAUUGUCACUACGGUGGCUUGGUUGCUACUGUGUUGCAGUUUCCAUCCCUGGCCCUGGGAACUUCCACAUGCUAUAGGCAUGGCCAAAAAAUAAAACACAAGAGGAAUGGCCCAUGCAAAGCCUUAGAGCUAUGUGUUUGAAAUUAGUUUGGCACAUUCGACUAUAUUGUAGAAUAAGAAGAGAUUAAACUGCAAUCACUUAUCGAGCACCUACUGUAUAUCAGGCAUCGUGCUAGGUAUUGAGAAUGCAAAGGAGGACCCAGUAGGGUCCCCAGUAGCCUCUGGGGACCUCUCCAUCCAGCAGGAGGGCGGGGGCGCACACAAAUCCUCAUGGUCCAAGGAUGCUGCAGUCGAGGACCAUAGCGGCGUCAUGGCGGCGCUGAUGGUAAAAUGACCUGGUAUCGAGAAGCUGGGCAGGCUUCUCGGAUGAAGCCCUUUGAGCUGGACCCUGGAGGGUGGAGGAGGCUUUUGCUGAGAGGAGCAGCAAGGGAGGGAAGGAGAAGCACUUGCAUGAAAGCGCCUGGUCUGGAAGGUGGGACCAUGGCUGGUGGGGUGCAAGGGUGGUAGCAGCAGAGGGGGCAGAAAAGGGGGUGGGGAGCAGCUUAGUCAAGGCUUUGGUGGCCAGCCUGAGAGUUUUGCCCUCCGUCCUGUGAGCCGUAAAUCUAUAGCAACAAGUUAGCCACGAGAGUUUCAGUUGCCCUCUGAAUGCCGGUCUAUCUAAGGGGGUAGGAAAUGUUUCUUACACCCACUCAAAGGUGCUGCUUUAACUGAGAUUUGCCUCACCUCGAGGCCUCUUCCCCACCAUCUCCUUUUUUCCUUUUAGGAGCAGUACACCUACUUGGGGUCCGCUCCCUAGGUACAAUCUGAAGGCAACCCAGAAGUUCUGGAAAUCCUGCCGCUGGAAACCAUAGCUGCUCAUCCCCCAACACCACAGAUAUCCGCCAGCUUCCCACUGCCCAUCCUUCCUACGCUGGUCCCUCAGAAGGGCUGUCCCAGAACAAACCGAGACUCAUACUUAGCCCUGACAGCAAUGUGGAGGCCAUGGCUGGCUAUGGCCAGCCGCUUUCAGCAUGAAUGACGGGGCCUCAAGAGAGAGGAAUAUCAGGGAACCGAAGGUUAGCUCCCAGGCCCCAAAGCGCCAAAAGAAUUCUCUGCUGCUGAAGAUAACCAUCCGAAAGUGAGCUGUACCCUCUCUGAGGUCCCCCAAAGCUGGCAAAGAGCCCCUAGGAAACUCCAAUUUAGUUUUAGCCCUCUGAUGCUUGACCCUGGCUUACAACCCUUGACCUAAUCUGGUUUUCAGAAUGCCCUUUCCAGAAUGGCCUUAGUCUCCCAAUGAUUUCUUGGUUCAGUCCCAGAGGUCCCAAAGCCAAUUACUAAGAACUUGGUCAGGGAGGUAGGACAGACCCCAGUUACCUCCAAGUCUCAAGAACCCCUUCCCUUGCAUGGACUUUUUAUUUUUGUUGUUGCUUUUUAGGGCCACACCCAGGGCAUAUGGAAGUUCCCAGGCUAGGGAUCGAAUCAGAGCUAUAAUUACCAACCUAGGCCACAGCCACAGCAAGCCCAGAUCCGAGACGUGGCUGUGACCUACACCCCAGCUCAUGGCAACACUGGAUCCUUAACCCACGGAGCAAGGCCAAGGAUCGAACCCACAUCCUCAUGGAUACUAGUUGAGUUCGUAACCUGCUGAGCCACAAUGGGAACUCUGCAUUGGCUCUUAUAUGCAGUCAGCCAGUCCCCUAGAUCCACGGGACUAAUUCAGCUUUUGCUUCUGAAUCUACAGAGAGGGUGGUUAUGGGUAGGUGCAGCCUCGGCUAAUGCCCAGGUCAGAGCAAAUCUGACCCGUUGCAUCCCAUAAGUCAGAGGGGCUUCUUCUCCCAUCCCUGUUAAAGCCAGUCUCUGUACCUGCUUGUUUCCAGAGCCCAGGAAGUGAGCUGCUGUGGACAUUCUUGCUCCCCAAGCAUGAGUGUUCUCAGAACUCCUGAAACAUUCUCCUACAGGCUCUCAGAUCUCCUGGUUCCCAGAAGCAGUUUUCCAAGGAGCCCUUGAGGGCUGGCUAGCAGGGCAGGGGCCUUGCAGCCAGGACACCCAGCACUCGUUUUGUGGCCCUGACCAACAGAGAAGGUGCCAUGGUCAUGGCCAGAGAUGGGAGAGGAUUCCCCACGCCCAAUGGAGUUAUUCCUUCCCUGCCCAGGAGAAAGGCACCAGCAACCAUUCUUACCCUGAGAAGGGAUGUGCUACCUGCCCACAGACUGAUGCUGUAGAGCAAAUGUCUUCUCGCCCACCCUGCUUUGUGUGCCCCCUGGGCGAUGGGGGGCCCUGGCCACUAGGGUGCUGUCAGAGCUAAUUAUGAGUCUCAGCGUGUUCCAAGAACAAAUAGUUAACCAAGGUGGAGAACCCAAGACUAUUCGUUCUUGGCUAUCUCACAGCCAGAUGCUGCUACACUUGAAUGGCCCGAGGUCUCAAGAAUGUCAUUAUUCCAGGGAGCAGGUCCAGCGAUGGGGGCCUUUGGGACUCCCAGGGAGAGUUGAGAGGCUACUCUGGGGCCUUGCAUCCUGUCCCCAUAAUCAGCCCAAGAGGCAGGAUUUAAGAGACUGAGCCAUUCCUAUCUAACGGGCUUCAGAGCCUACAGGAGGGCUGAGAUCCAGCUGAGGGCAACUACCCUACUGUGGGGAACCUGGAAGCUAGAAUAUAUAAAACGCUCCCCCAGUUGUAGCUGGUGGUAGCCUCAGUGGUGAAGGCCUUUGCCAAAGGGGACAAGUGGUACCAUCUUGUCUAUACAAAUAAUCUAGUGCUUAUGGUCUCAGUCUGUGGAGUCAGACAGACUUGGGUUUGAGGCCAAGUUCCGCCACUUUCUAGCUCUGUGACCUGGGGGCAAGCUAACUCAACCUCUCUGAACCUUAGUUUUCUCAUGUAUAAAAUGGAAACUAUAGGUAUGCUUAGUUUACAAGGUUAUUGCAAGUAUAGAAUGAGCUGAUGCAAGAUUAGUCUUUUUUUUUUUUUUUUUGUCUUUUUUUUAGGGCUGCAACCAUGGCAUAUGGAAGUCCCAGGCUAGGGGUUGAAUUGGAGCUACAGCUGCCGGCCUAUACCACAGCCACAUGGCAUCCAAGCUGCCUCUGCAACCUACACCACUGCUCACGGCAACCCUGGAUCCUUAACCCACUGAGCAAGAUCGGGGAUCGAACACCCAUCCUCAUGGAUACUAGUUGAGUUUGUUACUGCCGAAGCAUGAUGGGAACUCCCAUGAUAAGUCUUGACUGUAGCAAGUGUCCAGAAAUGGUGCUUGAAAUUAUUGCUCUCACAGGUCUCAUCACCCUACUCACUAGGAUAUAGUAGAGAAAGAAACAGCCAUGGGCCAACUAGUAAACAGGCCAAAAUGCCUGGUACAGGUGCAUCAGGCCAUGCUUGAGAACAUUGAUUUUCAGAUACUGCUUCUAACAGAGCCCUUGUUUUCUCCGAUGUUCCAUGAGACCCGAGUGCCUUCAGAACUCUGGUAGGAUGUAUAUAGACCAUUCUUUUAUAUGCUUUACUCCCACCCUGCCAUUAUUGAAUUUUGUCACUUGUUGCCUAAGAGCUUUCCCCAAAAGCCGGGCCAUUGUUCUCUCUCCUAGUGCAUGUGACCGAGGUGUGAAUGGGUUCCUCUAGGACCGAUAAGAUCCAGGAUCCGUGAUAUAAGUACUGUUUUCCAAGUGAGUGGAUUAGGACAGGACAGGUGGGUGGCACAAGCCAAGGACGUGAUAUGUAUUAGCCUAGUGACAUUACCUAGCCUAGUCAGACUGGUCCUCAGGAAACUGCAUCAGAACUAACUAGGAAGCCUUAACAAUGCAGAUUCCGUGAGCCAUCCUCAGAGACUCUGGAGUAGAACACAGGUUUGAAUAAACACGAGAUGAGUCUGAUGCAUAGGCAGGCUGAAGGAGCCAGGCCAGCCUGAGCAGCAAUAAUUCUGACAUUUCAGUGAACAUUGGAUUCACUUGGUGGGGUGGCACUUGUUAUAAGUGCAGGAGUUCCCGUAAAAAAGGGCCUGAUUGUUAGAAUCAGAUUGGCCUAUGUUUCUUUGCUCCCUGAUUUGUAAAAUCGAGGAAGUGACAUCAAAUCUGAAGGAUCGUUUUAUCUAAAGCUCUCAAAAGGCACUCGGAUGUGGCUUCCCUUUCUUGUGAUUCACAUACCUCUCUUUAUGCUCCAUAAAAGCUGUGAAGAUGAACUGUAGGUGGUGGCUGGGUUCCUUUGAGGGCCAAGGUUGGAUGUUGCCAGAAAGAAGGGAAAAUUGCAAUCCAUGGGCUUCUGAAGUGAAAUUUAUAAGAUUUAUAUAUUUAUGAAUAUACAUUGAUUAAAUACCCCAAAAGCAUGUAU
Molecule: long non-coding RNA, 5734 nt
Filed under: Sus scrofa (pig)
Lineage: Eukaryota; Metazoa; Chordata; Mammalia; Artiodactyla; Suidae
Description: lncRNA (ENSSSCG00015021719.1)
Source: RNAcentral